Molecule: non-coding RNA, 75 nt
Organism: Dermochelys coriacea (leatherback sea turtle)
Lineage: Eukaryota; Metazoa; Chordata; Testudines; Dermochelyidae
Source: the annotation of a RefSeq genome assembly
GGCUGGCUAGCUCAGCUGGUUAGAGCGUGGUGCUAAUAACACCAAGGUCAUGGUUUCAAGCUCUCAUGCUGGCCA